RNAcentral lists this ribosomal RNA (253 nucleotides) under uncultured bacterium. RNAcentral's name for it is "partial 16S ribosomal RNA". It matches the Rfam family "Bacterial small subunit ribosomal RNA", at positions 524 to 776 of the family's 1533-position model. The record is from RNAcentral.
GACGAAGGGGGCUAGCGUUGUUCGGAAUUACUGGGCGUAAAGCGAGUGUAGGUGGUUGUCCAAGUUGGAUGUGAAAGCCUUGAGCUCAACUCAAGAAAUGCAUUCAGGACUGGGCGGCUAGAGGACCGGAGAGGAUAGUGGAAUUCCCAGUGUAGUGGUGAAAUACGUAGAGAUUGGGAAGAACACCAGUGGCGAAGGCGGCUCACUGGCCCGGUACUGACGCUCAUGUGCGAAAGCGUGGGGAGCAAACAGG